CUUUUUAUGUACUUGAAACCAAGUUAUUUAAUCACUUUGUGUCAUGUCCUGUUGUAUGCAUAUAUGCUUGACUUCACAAAUGACAUCCGACCUUGCAGUUCCAAUGACUUCUAUUGGCCUAUCUCCAACCCGAAUACAAGAGUUUUACGUCACAAAUAGCGACUUCAUUUCAUACCUUGAUAUUUAUCUUGAUUUUAGCGGAAGCG
This 206-nucleotide long non-coding RNA is filed under the name Mytilus galloprovincialis (Mediterranean mussel). Lineage: Eukaryota; Metazoa; Mollusca; Bivalvia; Mytilida; Mytilidae. The record is from RNAcentral.